Molecule: ribosomal RNA, 443 nt
Filed under: uncultured bacterium
Lineage: Bacteria
Description: partial 16S ribosomal RNA
Rfam family: Bacterial small subunit ribosomal RNA
Source: RNAcentral
CCUACGGGAGGCAGCAGUGGGGAAUAUUGGGCAAUGGAGGAAACUCUGACCCAGCAACGCCGCGUGAAUGAUGAAGGUCUUCGGAUUGUAAAGUUCUUUUCUAAGGGAAGAAGAAAGUGACGGUACCUUAGGAAUAAGCCUCGGCUAACUACGUGCCAGCAGCCGCGGUAAUACGGAGGAGGCAAGCGUUAUCCGGAAUGACUGGGCGUAAAGGGUGCGUAGGUGGUUUGACAAGUUGGUAGCGUAACUCCGAGGCUUAACCUCGGCACUACUACCAAAACUGUUGGACUCGAGUGCAGGAGGGGCAAAUGGAAUUCGUGGUGUAGCGGUGGAAUGCGUAGAUAUUAGGAGGAACACCAGUGGCGAAGGCGGCAUGCCGGCUCCACACUGACGCUGAGGCACGAAAGCGUGGGUAUCGAACAGGAUUAGAUACCCGAGUAGUC